This is a long non-coding RNA of Ruditapes philippinarum (Manila clam), 1115 nucleotides long. RefSeq lists it as uncharacterized. The transcript is spliced from 4 exons. The record is from RefSeq and is a predicted model, not a curated record. Lineage: Eukaryota; Metazoa; Mollusca; Bivalvia; Venerida; Veneridae.
AAGAACAAAUAUGAUAUUAGUAUGGACUAAAAUGAAUUUAAGUGAUUUAUAGCUUUUAUAUUGUAUAGUUGGCAUAGCCAGAAUAGAAAGAACCUUUUUCCCCGAGCGUCGGAUUAUGGAAUAUUUUACAUGUUUAUGAUUCUCAUACAGAAAUGUGUGUUUUGACAGUUUUAUUAAAACUUAAUAUUAGAAAUGAUAACACCACUAAUAAGUACGUGUACCAAGAGGCAAGCUAUGAACUAUGGAAGAAUGCAUAUACCGAUAAUAAAGUAGCUUCGGUUAACUUCUGCUAUGAUGGUUGAUGUUUGCAUUGAGGUCAUAGGGGAACAUUACAGAACAGGAAGAGCAGAUAUACCUUUGAUGAACUAAACGAUGCGUUAAAAGUGGGCAGUAAAUGGAAAUGUGGAGGAAGACAGUCGAUUAAAAUAUUGUUGUCCAAACCCAAAGCGGACAACUAAUGUACAUGAAUACAACAUGGCGGACAAAGAGACCAGCAUGCAGCAUCUGCAUCUUAAACUCGACCGACUGAACGAGGAAGGGAUACCAAUUAAAGAAACGCAUAUAGAAAACUUUUAAUAUACCUAUUGAUUGCUUAAUGUGUACACUUGUCAAGACCAUUUUUAAUAUCAUAUGUCAUUUGUGAAUGAGACCGUUUAUAUAAAACUGGCAGUAUUUUACAUUAAUCUGCUAAUUCAUGAUGAACUGGGAAAUAAUGAGGCUUUUAUUGUCUUUAAAUCUAAGAAAGACAACAUAGUUGGAUCAAGAAUGUUGCAAAUAUUUGCUAUCUCUAUUUGAAACUUCUUAUAGUUUGUCACAUUGCAUGCGUGUAUAAGCUAUCAUUCAAUAUAUGGCUGUUUGUUACCUAACAAGCUGUCACCUAGAAGUCUGGCAAGAAAGUUUGUAACUCUAGGGAAUGCUGUAUACUCUACACUUGCAAGAUUUGAUUUAGAGGUAAUCAAACAGAAUACCGCUAUGGCAUGACCAUGAUAGGCAAUUAAUAACAUGGCCAAUAGAAAAACGUUGGAUCCUUGAUAUAUUAUUGGAAUGCGUUUUUGUCUUUGGCCUUGCAAAACCUUUGUAGACAGUAAAACAAAAACAGAUACUUGACAAUACAA